This 440-nucleotide ribosomal RNA is filed under the name uncultured bacterium. RNAcentral's name for it is "partial 16S ribosomal RNA". It matches the Rfam family "Bacterial small subunit ribosomal RNA", at positions 338 to 795 of the family's 1533-position model. The record is from RNAcentral.
CCUACGGGAGGCAGCAGUGGGGGAUAUUGCACAAUGGGGGAAACCCUGAUGCAGCGACGCCGCGUGAGUGAAGAAGUAUUUCGGUAUGUAAAGCUCUAUCAGCAGGGACGAAAAUGACAGUACCUGACCAAGAAGCCCCGGCUAAUUACGUGCCAGCAGCCGCGGUAUUACGUAGGGGGCAAGCGUUAACCGGAUUUACUGGGUGUAAAGGGAGCGUAGACGGUUAUGUAAGUCUGGAGGGAAAGCCCGGGGGCCAACCCCGGGACUGCUUUGGAAACUGUGUGACUGGAGUACAGGAGGGGGAGGCGGAAUUCCAGGUGUAGCGGUGAAAUGCGUAGAGAUCAGGAGGAACACCGGCGGCGAAGGCGGCCUGCUGGACUAAAACUGACGUUGAGGCGCGAAAGCGUGGGGAGCAAACAGGAUUAGAUACCCCUGUAGUC